Molecule: long non-coding RNA, 616 nt
Filed under: Panax ginseng (ginseng)
Lineage: Eukaryota; Viridiplantae; Streptophyta; Magnoliopsida; Apiales; Araliaceae
Description: long non-coding RNA (PGIN_LNC012831)
Source: RNAcentral
UUUUUUAAGUAUAAGUCUUUGAACUUUUAUAAAUAUAUUUGCUCUUUAAUUGAUAUCUGCUUAUUUGAGAAGCACCAAUUUGUACUAAAUUAUAUCUACUUAUUUAAGAAGCAUCCAUCUAUACUAAAUUCUUAUUUGCUUAUUUGAGAAGCAUCAAUCUGUACUUAAUUAUUAUCUGCUUAUUUGAGAAGCACAUUAUUGUAAAUCAUUUGUAAAAAUGAGAAAAUGUCAGAGUUGGUUUAUUUAUGUACCUGUGAGAAAGACGAGUAAUUCUUCGACCAAGACCAGAGUCUUAGAGAGGUCAGCGGGAAGUUGGGUCUCUAGUGUACUUGUGAGGUGAGGAAGAGGCUGUUGUUUCAAGACCAGAUCAUAAAAUAGAACUGAACUCAAAAGAAGUACAACUAAGCUUGAGGAGGGAGCGGGGAGCUUGCUGUCCAAGAUAGAUUAGUUGGGAACAGUUGGAAGUUUGACUAUAAAACUUUGUAAAGGCUUCUCCGCCUGUUGAAGGAGUAUAUAUUACUGAUAGUGAUAGGAUCUCAAGUCCUGGAAAGGAGCUUGAGACUGGACGUAGCAGCAUACCCGUGAUGUAUGUUGUGAACCAGACAAAUCUCUGUGC